RNAcentral lists this ribosomal RNA (405 nucleotides) under uncultured rumen bacterium. RNAcentral's name for it is "bacterial SSU rRNA". It matches the Rfam family "Bacterial small subunit ribosomal RNA", at positions 509 to 916 of the family's 1533-position model. The record is from RNAcentral.
CAGCAGCCGCGGUAAUACGGAGGAUCCGAGCGUUAUCCGGAUUUAUUGGGUUUAAAGGGUGCGUAGGCGGCCUGUUAAGUCAGAGGUGAAAGGCGGUAGCUUAACUAUCGGAGUGCUUUUGAUACUGACGGGCUUGAAUGCAGCUGAGGUAGGCGGAAUGUGACAAGUAGCGGUGAAAUGCAUAGAUAUGUCACAGAACACCAAUUGCGAAGGCAGCUUACUAAAGUGUGAUUGACGCUGAGGCACGAAAGCGUGGGGAUCAAACAGGAUUAGAUACCCUGGUAGUCCACGCCCUAAACGAUGAAUACUCGAUGUUGGCGAUAUACGGUCAGCGUCUAAGCGAAAGCGUUAAGUAUUCCACCUGGGGAGUACGCCCGCAAGGGUGAAACUCAAAUAAAUUGACGG